Molecule: ribosomal RNA, 253 nt
Filed under: uncultured bacterium
Lineage: Bacteria
Description: partial 16S ribosomal RNA
Rfam family: Bacterial small subunit ribosomal RNA
Source: RNAcentral
UACGUAGGGGGCAAGCGUUGUCCGGAUUUAUUGGGCGUAAAGAGCGUGUAGGCGGCCUGACAGGUCUGCUGUGAAAACUCGAGGCUCAACCUCGAGAUGUCGGCGGAAACCGUCUGGCUAGAGUCCGGAAGAGGAGAGUGGAAUUCCUGGUGUAGCGGUGAAAUGCGCAGAUAUCAGGAGGAACACCUGAGGUGAAGACGGGUUGCUGGGCCAACACUGACGCUGAUGCGCGAAAGCCAGGGGAGCAAACGGG